Molecule: non-coding RNA, 1156 nt
Filed under: Pan troglodytes (chimpanzee)
Lineage: Eukaryota; Metazoa; Chordata; Mammalia; Primates; Hominidae
Source: RNAcentral
GGGGCUGUUUCUCCUGUCUCUGAGACCCAGCACAACGUGAGGCAUACAGCAGGUGUAUUAGCAGGAUCUAGAAUACGGCAAAGAGGCCUUAAACAGGGUGAUGCGGCCCAUUCUAGCCAGGUGCCUCCUCUAAACCUACAGUCAACUUGAAAAGCCCGAGGUGCUUUCCCAGAGCACUGCCUGAAGUUUGCCGUUCACAGCCAGGGAGACUUGCGAAGAGGACUGAUCCCACAGCUCCCUCUCUAAAGAGUAGGGUUUCUUGAUGAUCCCAGGAUGGGUACAUAGCCAUGGGGCUCAGGGACUGCCCCUGCCUCUGCCCUCUCCAUUCUCCAACGGGACAUACACAUGCCACUGCAACCAGAGAUCCCCAGCAAUCCCACUCCGUAAGGACACCUGAAAACCUCUCACUAGCCCUGCAAUCCCACUCCGUAAGGACACCUGAAAACCUCACCGCCAGUCCCACCCUAGGAGAUGGAUAUUCCCCCUCUAACCUCCAGGGUGGAGAAGCAGGGUUCAAACAGGGGGCCUCAGAGCGGUGCUUCCAAGAGAAAGCGCCUUGGAAGCCAGGCUAAGGAAUGGAACUUUCUGCUCUGGGCAAUGGCGAAGCGGGGGGACAUCUACUGCCCCACCUCACCCUGUGCCGGGCACAGGGACCUUUCAUGCUCACUCAACAAAUCCUAAUACCACCAGAGUACCCCAAAUUCCAGGAGCAAUUGGACUUGACGAGUCCCCACAUUCCCAGAGGCCUCUCAUCCCACCCUGAGAGAGAAGCAUCUCAGAGUAGGCAACAGUGUUCAUGCUUUUCCUUCAAGAAGCAAUGGUCCAGGGGCAUUCCCUGCAAGAUACUAUCUUCUGGCCUCAUUUCAAGAACCCCAGCUAUCCUCACUCACAAACUAGCCUGAGACCCCUGCUCCAACCCUCUCUUUAAAAUUAGUUCUAGGCACAGGAAGCUCCUGGAAAACUGAAUAAAAACAAAUGCUCAGAGGGAAAUGUGGGACUCCUGCCAGGUCGGCCAACCCCUCCUGACUGAUUUACAAGGCUGCAAAAUGGUACUUUGUUCUGCAAAUCCCCUCCCCUCCUUGCCCCGCCCUAAUACUCAGGCCUUGGCGUGCAGCAGCUUGGGGGCCACAUGCAGAACCACAUGUGCAGACGACUU